RNAcentral lists this ribosomal RNA (258 nucleotides) under uncultured bacterium. Its description in RNAcentral is "partial 16S ribosomal RNA". It matches the Rfam family "Bacterial small subunit ribosomal RNA", at positions 524 to 777 of the family's 1533-position model. The record is from RNAcentral.
UACGAAGGGGGCGAGCGUUGUUCGGAUUUACUGGGCGUAAAGGGCGCGUAGGCGGCCCUCCUAGUCGCGUGUGAAACGCCCCGGGCUCAACCUGGGACGGCGCGCGGAAACGGGGGGGCUGGAGUUCGGGAGAGGAGCGUGGAAUUCCCAGUGUAGAGGUGAAAUUCGUAGAUAUUGGGAAGAACACCGGGUGGCGAAGGCGGCGCUCGUGGACCGAGACUGACGCUGAGGCGCGGAAAGCGUGGGGAGCAAACAGGG